UCGCUCCCGAGGUCUAUGUGGCACAAACAGUGAGCCCCUUCGGCUCUCAUUGUCUCCGAAAAUGCUAUGUUCAUCGUCGGCAAAUUCUGUUUCAGAUCCAAUAUCUUUUCCUCGACCUCUGAAACUAAAAAGACUUGUUCUGCUGCUCCGCCUUGCAGAAAACAAGGAGCCACGGAUGCUGAGUGGUGACUGCAAAAAAAAUUAGAGAUGACAUGUAUCUGCUGAAAAACCUAAAGACAGAAGUACAUUUCAUGUAACUACCAUUGAGAUCACUGACUUGAGGGCAGGUGGCUCGGCACCAGCUUAAGAGAAACAUUUUUAAAAACAAAGACAUUCAGCAAGAAGACAAAUUCUUCUAAAUAAGGAAUGAAAAAGCUGGAAGAAUGCAUCCGUUCAGGACCAGCACUUUUGGAGCUCAGCUUGGACGUUUCAGAAGAACUCUCCGAAAGGCCCAUUAUUCGGCUUCUCCCAAUGCUUGUGUAUUCAGCUGCUGCCAGUGCUAUUGCCUGUGGGACCAAAAGAUCACACACACAGUGA
Molecule: non-coding RNA, 537 nt
Organism: Sus scrofa (pig)
Lineage: Eukaryota; Metazoa; Chordata; Mammalia; Artiodactyla; Suidae
Source: RefSeq, a predicted model, not a curated record